This is a long non-coding RNA of Sus scrofa (pig), 2379 nucleotides long. RefSeq lists it as uncharacterized. Lineage: Eukaryota; Metazoa; Chordata; Mammalia; Artiodactyla; Suidae. The record is from RefSeq and is a predicted model, not a curated record.
CACUGAGCAAGGCCAGGGAUGGAACCUGCAUCCUCAUGGAUCCUAGUCGGAACAAGUAAUUAAGACGACACUUGUGAGCUCUAAUUUGGAUCACACGUACAUGGAUGUGUUAGGAGCUGCAAGCCAAAACAUGCAAAACCAGCCUUUCAUCGAGGAGAAAAGGAAAAGUCUGGAAUGCAAGGGAACACCGGGGAGCCGAACGCGGCUGUGUGAACCAGAACCCACUGCUGACGGCCCAUCCCGUUAGAGCCCGCGCCUUUGGCUACACCCGCGUGCGGCCCGGGGCCGUGGGGGCUGUGUCAUGCCACGCAGCGGACCUGGAGCUGGUGAUGGGUCCCUCAGCUCAGAGCUCGCCAGCACGAGGAACUGGGGUCUGCCUGCCUGUCCGUCCGUCCGUCUGUCGCCUUCCCAAGCUGCACGGAGCCCCGGUGGAGCACGGUGUCAGGGACAGAGGCACGUCUGGCCUAGCUGAGCCCUUGUGGUCAAUCUGCCAAGCCUCGGGCUCCGAAGCAGAGGCCCAGGGGCAGGGGUGGCGGUGGGGAGCAGUGGCCAAGCCCCCUGGGAACCUGCAGGUUGCCUCUGAGCCACAGGGCUGUUGUGGCCCGGGGUCUGACCUAGAGUCGCGACCAGAUGGUCACGCGGGCGUGCAGUGUACAUCUGGGGACCAGAGCCACGUAAGGAACAAGAACGCCUCCAUGCAGGUUGGAUGAGGCUUGGGCGGUGGGCAACCUUGGAGAAGGUUCUGUCACGAAUGGUUUCACCUCGGCCGAGAGGGCGCCAGGGUCCAGGGUGCGCCGACGGCCCCCACCCCGCCCUGCCCCCCGUGACCGGUGCGUGUCCAGCCGGCCAGUGCAAAUCAGCACAACAGAUCACGGUACCCGAAGUGAAAUUCACAGACAAGAAAUACUUUAAUUAAAUAUUGUGUAAAAUGAACAUUUUUAUACAGUUAAAUAUCUGAAAAAAUGUACAGAUAAAACAAUCUUAUUGUAGGGUCUUUAACAGUAAAAUCUACCAUUUAGUGGCGCUCUCGGUUUUGAGACAAUGAAGCCAUGAGGGCGACUAAUUCACCUAAAACACAAACCAAGUGCAGGGGCGGAAAGACUUGCAAACGUCCCUAACGUGGACACGGGAGCUCGCUUUCUGGGGUCAGACCCUUCCUCAGACAAAAUUAAACGGAGGCAAUUUAGUUCCAAAGUGACUUCUCAGGCUCGUCACGGGGCCAGAGUGUGACCCGCCCACCCCGGGGGACGUUCGGAUCCUUUGAUUUCGUCCUCACAUGGACCCUCUCUUAAGUCCUGUGUUGUUUUACUGGGGGUUUUGUCAAGAAAGUUUGAAAAAGUCCCUCCUUUUUGUUGGAGAUCUGAUUUCUGCUGCAGUCUGCCAGAUGCUGGCUGUGCCGUGUCUGCCAAGGGAAGGGAACACAGCCGACCCGCUUGGUCUCACCGUGGGUUUGGCACGAAUAGGUCGAGCGUCUGAAGGAGGUCCUUCCCGUUGAAAAGGGACAGGCAGUGUGCUGUGGGGUUGAUCACAGCAAAAGUUAAAAAGGAAUUUUCAAUGAGGGGCCGAGGCGGGUCCCCAGAAACCUCUCUGCCUCUGAGCUGGGCCUGGGAGAAGGCAGGAUGCAGCAGAACCAGGCCCAGGAGGGAGGACUUGUGGAUCACCGGGCUUGUGCUUUUGUGUGUGUGUGUGUGUGUGUGUGUGUGUUUACACCAUAACUCUCCAAAUGAAAUAUUGAUUAACAAUUGUGGUAUAAGCCUGUGAUAAAAUAGCACAAAGGUUCCUUAAAGAAGUCCACUUUUAAGGCAUCAGAGAAGUUCAUGUGGCAAACAUUUUAAUUAAAACAUCAGAAGUAAAUUUUAUUUUAAACUUUAGGCCUCUGAAUUCUUCCAGUAAACACAGUUCAGCUAUGUGGCAAAGUCAUGAGUGGCAGCUAAAAUGACUUUUUACAUUCUACAAAAAAAAAAAAUAAAAAUAAAAAUAAAACGAAUAAAAUAAGGACACAGCCCCAAACGGUGUCGCCUCUUCGUGGCCGUUUCACAUGCACGGAUUCUACUAGGAUUUGUCACAGCCGGGGGGGGGCACCGUUAUGUUUUGACUAUACAACGAACUUUUUUUUUUUUCUUCAAAAGUAUUUGUUCAGAUAACUUAAAAAUAAUAUAAAAAUAAACAAUGAAUUUGACUUUUCCUCAAAAUAAAAAAAAAAAAAGGACGGGAAGUCUAAACAAAGACAAAUUUGGGAAGGACAAAGGAAAUGCAGGGACGCUGGUUCAGCGAACGAAACAGAUCAAACAGACAGUUCUUGGCUUAAUGCUCUUGUCCCAGCAUCGCAACACCAGGCCAUGAUCGAAAAACCGAUACAGACAAGAAAAAAAAAAAAAA